RNAcentral lists this ribosomal RNA (490 nucleotides) under uncultured bacterium. RNAcentral describes it as "partial 16S ribosomal RNA". It matches the Rfam family "Bacterial small subunit ribosomal RNA", at positions 30 to 507 of the family's 1533-position model. The record is from RNAcentral.
AUUGAACGCUGGCGGCAGGCCUAACACAUGCGAGUCGAAUGGUAACAGGAAACAGCUUGCUGUUUCGCUGACGAGUGGCGGACGGGUGAGUAAUGUCUGGGAAACUGCCUGAUGGAGGGGGAUAACUACUGGAAACGGUAGCUAAUACCGCAUAACGUCGCAAGACCAAAGAGGGGGACCUUCGGGCCUCUUGCCCUCAGAUGUGCCCAGAUGGGAUUAGCUAGUAGGUGGGGUAACGGCUCACCUAGGCGACGAUCCCUAGCUGGUCUGAGAGGAUGACCAGCCACACUGGAACUGAGACACGGUCCAGACUCCUACGGGAGGCAGCAGUGGGGAAUAUUGCACAAUGGGCGCAAGCCUGAUGCAGCCAUGCCGCGUGUAUGAAGAAGGCCUUCGGGUUGUAAAGUACUUUCAGCGGGGAGGAAGGGAGUAAAGUUAAUACCUUUGCUCAUUGACGUUACCCGCAGAAGAAGCACCGGCUAACUCCGUG